Molecule: long non-coding RNA, 209 nt
Filed under: Phoenix dactylifera (date palm)
Lineage: Eukaryota; Viridiplantae; Streptophyta; Magnoliopsida; Arecales; Arecaceae
Description: long non-coding RNA (PDAC_LNC016901)
Source: RNAcentral
UACAACCACUAUUCUUCGAGUAGAACAGGUAAGAGUAAAUUAAAUUUAAACUUUGUUUGUCGGUUUUAACAACGAUCUGUUUAGCAUAUUUUUAGUUAGACAGGAAAGGACGAACAUGCGCCCUUCUCCUCUUCGAGCUCGGCGGUCAGAGCCCGAAUCUCAUCCUCGGCCGCCCCCAUUCUUGUCUGGAGCUCCUGUCGCUCGGCCUC